This 1331-nucleotide long non-coding RNA is filed under the name Rattus norvegicus (Norway rat). Its description in RNAcentral is "long non-coding RNA NONRATT033405". The record is from RNAcentral. Lineage: Eukaryota; Metazoa; Chordata; Mammalia; Rodentia; Muridae.
ACUGAAGGAGAGAGAGAGCAGAAUACUCUAAAUACAGUCUCCACGGAGAUUCUGCUCAACAGCGCCGAGAUGACACCAAGUACAGAAUCAAGACCUUUAGGAACUCAAUGUGUCCUCUUUCUCAGGACGACAGACCCUUUUCUGCCGGUUCCCACGCUCAUGGCCUAGAUCACUCCUCCUCUUGGCAGGACCACAGUCGCUUCCUGUCUACUCCACAGUUUUCACACUUUAACUGCUUGCCAGCAUUUACCAAAAGAACCAUUGCCUCAGAUCCAGCUUCAAUCAAGGGAGAUGCCCCAGGUUUACCAGCGAAUGGAACAAGUCUACAGUCCAAGAGGGAGGAGUAUGAGAGCAAAAAAUCCAAAAUGUGAUUCACAACCUCACUUGAGUAUUUCCCAAGUAACAGCCCAUAGUCCUUGUUGCCACUGGGCUCAGAUUAUCUAAAGACAUCAUGUGGGUUCAGCUCCUUGGAAUCACCAAGCGUUGACUAGCAUGACGUUAUAGCCAGUCUUUGUGAGGGAGAAUAAAUUUAACUUGUAGAGGUAAUAUCAACUUAUGAACGAUAUAUAACUCACUUAAAGGCAACUGGUACCAGCAGAGAAAGUGAUCAUUUCUACCUUAUAUUUUCCUAUUUCUCAGUGUCACAAUUUUCCAACCCAACCUGGAAUUUAUAAUCUAUGCCUUUCCAAGAUGACUGGCUACAAGGAGAAGGGGUUCCCUCCAGGCAAAUGUUCCCAGCAGUUUAGAGUCAGGCACAUUUGUACACGGGGGAUGUGUAAAUGCUUUCUCCCUCAUCGUCAUGUGUUUUAACCUGUUGUGGAGAUGCUUUGGAAUAUCAGACUGCCUUUUCAAUGCUUGUCGUCAUCACCUGUCAAAUCAGCAGUCUGUUACUACAUGAAGUAUCUUCAAACCAUUGCAAUUGUCAUUUUAAUUGCAAAAGAAUUUAUAAAAGAUAGCUGAAUCAUAGAGCAUCAUAAAGAAUUCAUAACAUCAUUUAUAUAUUUGUCAUGUUACGGCCACUUGUCCCACUGCGAUCAUCCUGGUCAUACGCUGGAUGGUCUUUGGUUUGCUGUGACCUCAAUCCCAGCACCCCUGUCCUGGGUCAGUCAGUGGGAUCCACUCUGUAGGAAUCCUUAUAUCCUUUGGUACUACUGCUUUCCACAUCCCAGUCUUUCAACAUCAAUGUGCUUUUAAAACCUUACCGCUCCGCUGUGCCCAUCAACCAGUGAAUAUUAAAUAAUGGCCAUCAUCCUGAAACUGAGUCCAACUGGGCCAUGGUGGAAAAACCUGCACAGGGCAGGAACAAUAAAGCAAUUCCUUUGUAAGAACAA